Molecule: transfer RNA, 79 nt
Filed under: Rothia kristinae
Lineage: Bacteria; Bacillati; Actinomycetota; Actinomycetes; Micrococcales; Micrococcaceae
Also listed under: 1 other name
Description: tRNA-Arg(gcg)
Source: RNAcentral
GGCCCUGCUGGACGGGCUGGUGCGCGACGGCUACCUGCGGCGGCGCCCGACGGGCUGGUUCUGGACCCACCCGGAGUCC